This 236-nucleotide unclassified non-coding RNA is filed under the name uncultured Agaricomycetes. RNAcentral's name for it is "sequence contains ITS1". Lineage: Eukaryota; Fungi; Basidiomycota; Agaricomycetes. The record is from RNAcentral.
UUGAAUAAACUUGAACAGGCUGUUGCUGGUCUCUCUUUUUAAGGGGAGCAUGUGCACGCUUGGUCAUCUCUAUUCUUCCCAAACUUGUGCACUCAUUGUAGACCUGGAGUAAAAUCAUAUAUAGAUUUUGAUUGGGGACUGCUGCUGUCUUUCCUUGCAAUUUUUCAGGUCUAUGUCCUUAUUUUUUUAACAAUCCCAGAAUGUAUGAAAGACAAAAGUGUUAUAAUAUAUGUAUA